Molecule: non-coding RNA, 215 nt
Organism: Tetraodon nigroviridis (spotted green pufferfish)
Lineage: Eukaryota; Metazoa; Chordata; Actinopteri; Tetraodontiformes; Tetraodontidae
Source: Rfam
AAGACUAUACUUUCAGGGAUCAUUUCUAUAGUUCCUAACUUGAGAAAUGUGUUUCUAAAGUGAUUGGUCUCGCUACCCACGAUGAAGAGUCGUGAUGUUCCUUUCUGAGCGCGAAAAGGACCCAGAUUAAUGAUUCAGUUCAUAUGAUCUCGGUCGUUGAUGAACGUUCGGCUCUCCUUCGGGAGAGUUGAGGAAGGGAACAUGAUCAGAGUGGU